GAUGAACGCUGACAGAAUGCUUAACACAUGCAAGUCAACUUGAACUUCGGUUUGGGUGGCGGACGGGUGAGUAACGCGUAAAGAACUUGCCUCACAGUUAGGGACAACAUUUGGAAACGAAUGCUAAUACCUGAUAUUAUGAUUUUAGGACAUCCUAGAAUUAUGAAAGCUAUAUGCGCUGUGAGAGAGCUUUGCGUCCCAUUAGCUAGUUGGAGAGGUAACGGCUCACCAAGGCGAUGAUGGGUAGCCGGCCUGAGAGGGUGAUCGGCCACAAGGGGACUGAGACACGGCCCUUACUCCUACGGGAGGCAGCAGUGGGGAAUAUUGGACAAUGGACCAAGAGUCUGAUCCAGCAAUUCUGUGUGCACGAUGAAGCUUUUCGGAAUGUAAAGUGCUUUCAGUUGGGAAGAAAAAAAUGACGGUACCAACAGAAGAAGCA
Molecule: ribosomal RNA, 439 nt
Filed under: Fusobacterium periodonticum
Lineage: Bacteria; Fusobacteriati; Fusobacteriota; Fusobacteriia; Fusobacteriales; Fusobacteriaceae
Description: bacterial SSU rRNA
Rfam family: Bacterial small subunit ribosomal RNA
Source: RNAcentral